AUUGAACGCUGGCGGCAGGCCUAACACAUGCAAGUCGAGCGGCAGCGGAAAGUAGCUUGCUACUUUGCCGGCGAGCGGCGGACGGGUGAGUAAUGUCUGGGAAACUGCCUGAUGGAGGGGGAUAACUACUGGAAACGGUAGCUAAUACCGCAUAAUGUCGCAAGACCAAAGAGGGGGACCUUCGGGCCUCUUGCCAUCAGAUGUGCCCAGAUGGGAUUAGCUAGUAGGCGGGGUAACGGCUCACCUAGGCGACGAUCCCUAGCUGGUCUGAGAGGAUGACCAGCCACACUGGAACUGAGACACGGUCCAGACUCCUACGGGAGGCAGCAGUGGGGAAUAUUGCAUAAUGGGCGCAAGCCUGAUGCGGCCAUGCCGCGUGUAUGAAGAAGGCCUUCGGGUUGUAAAGUACUUUCAGCGGGGAGGAAGGUGCUGAGGUUAAUAACCUCAGCAAUUGACGUUACCCGCAGAAGAAGCACCGGCUAACUCCGUGCCAGCAGCCGCAGUAA
Molecule: ribosomal RNA, 506 nt
Filed under: uncultured bacterium
Lineage: Bacteria
Description: partial 16S ribosomal RNA
Rfam family: Bacterial small subunit ribosomal RNA
Source: RNAcentral